CCACCAAAAAUGGAGCCCCCAUGCAGCAGCGGUUCCAUUUUGCCGCUGCGUGAUUUACCUCAUCGCCAGAAAACUUGACACCAUGCCAUGCUCUUGAACGCUACAUGGAAGAAACUCCGGUGUGCUCGAACCUAUAUCAACACCCCACAGAUUGUUGUCGUCUUCGCUGCUGUACAGUGAGUGUGGAAUUGGCGCUGCUCUGAUGAUCGCAGACCCUGUCAUCACCCAUAGUCGAUGUCGGCCACCGUCAACUUCAUCUCCUGCUACAACUAACCCUGAUCAAUGCUGCUGCCGGUUACCGUUCACAUUCCCAGUGAUCCAGGCCUCCAGUCAUCAAACCCUUUGAUCAUGAUAUAGCCCUUGAUGUUGUACACACCUCUGUAAAUCAGUUUGGUCAUAGGACCAGCGAUACCGGAGUUAUUGAUAUCAUCAUGCUUGCUGCUCCUGCAUCCUUGCAGCAGCAUUGUUUCCGAUUGGCAUGCAUGUUCCAUAAGAUCCUUUCCUCCAAUCAUCAAAUCCUUUGAAAAUGAUAUUCGUCAUGAAGUUGAACAUGUCCUUGCCAAAUUUCAUCACCAUAGAGCCUAACACAAAAGAGUUAUAAAUGUUCUUGUGCAUGAUGUCCCUGCUGCCCCGCAUUAGCAUUCCUGUUGGUUGGCAUAUGCAUUCCCAUUGAACCAUCGCUCCAGUGACCGUGUCCUUCAACCAUAGUGUGUUUUGUACCUUUGCACACACCCCUGAGAAAUUCCAUGGUAAUAGAAUUCAAGAUGAAAGAGAUAUCAUUGUCUUUUCGGUUUUCUGUUGUCUCUGCUAUUUCAGCAGUGUUGCGCCUCUGUUUGGUAGUGAUGUUCCCCAUAAUACAUUAGUAAAAUCAUCAAACCAUUCAUACAGCA
This is a long non-coding RNA of Sorghum bicolor (sorghum), 890 nucleotides long. RefSeq lists it as uncharacterized. Lineage: Eukaryota; Viridiplantae; Streptophyta; Magnoliopsida; Poales; Poaceae. The transcript is spliced from 4 exons. The record is from RefSeq and is a predicted model, not a curated record.